UAUAAUUAGAAAGAGAUACACUAGUACAUAAUCGUGUUCAGAGUAUACAACUAAUCAAGAAUAAAGUGAAAGAAUUAUAAUAGAAAGGUACGAACCAAGGGGUGGGUCCUAUAAUGAGGAGACUCGAAGAUAUUCAUGCGGAAGUUCUCUGACGCUGGGAUCGUGUAGCUCGAUUCUAACUCCUGAGGGAGCGCAAAAACAGAAAAGGUGAGUGGACCAUAAUUUAUAUUAAUAUGACUAAUACGAAAAUCAUUUUCUUUCUGAACAUACUAACCCCGUAUUUUGAAAACAUAUAUAAUACUAUAUAGUAGGCUUUAUAAAAAAAAAUCCUAGCUUGCCGUGCAAAACAUUCGUAAAACAUGUAUGUAAAACCAAUGCUCAGAAAUGGUAAUAUUGUCGCUUGAAGGCAAAUCCGUAAUCUCAUCAAUGAUGUACUCAACUAGGGGUAUCAUAGUCGCCAGAAGGCAAUACCUAUCCAUCACCCGAAGGUGAAGCUGUAUGACACUAGGUUAUGCCAAUGAAGAAACCAGGGUCUAUCAUCCGAAGGUGAAGCUGUACGACUCCAGGGUUACGUUGGAGAAGAGGAUAUAUAACAUCACACAUCGACAGUAACCGCAGGCUAAUGAAGCUGGGGGUAUCAUCAUAAUCGCCCGAAGGCAAUACCUGUCCAUCACCCGAAGGUGAAGCUGUACGACAUUGGGUUACGCCAGUGAAGAAACCAGGGUCCAUCACUCAAAGGUGAAGAUGCACGACUCCAGGUUACGUCGGAGAAGAGGAUAUAUAACAUCACAUUGUGUCCAAUGGCCAUAGACAUCUACAUAUCCGUGUUGUGUGGAUGUGCUGUAUGAUAACCCACUAGAUAAGUACCUCAAACAUCUCAUAUCAAAUCCGAAGCUCAAAGGCUCUAAGCCACAUCUCAUAAAUCCAUGGUAAAUCAUGUUCAUGAAUCCAUAAAAUAAAUCAUAUUCGCAAAUCUGAAUAUAAAUCAUAUUCAAAAUCCAUAGAAAUUUAUAUACGCAAAUCCACUAAUUCGUAAUCUUUAGUAAAAACGUAAUGUCAAUAAAUUAUAAAUAUUCCGUAAACGCAAUUUAAAGAAAUCAUAAAUUACUCGUAAAACAUAUUAUAAAACAUGCUCAAAUCAUGAAAUAUGAAAUGCAUGCUAGGCUAAUAUUUUAUAAAAACAUAUAAGUUAAGAAGGGAUCCACUGACAAAUAAUUUGUUGCUUGAAAACCGCUCAAACUAGCGAGAAUGUUGCCAGCACCACUGAUGCACCUAAACACAUAAAACUCUAUUAAAACGAUCGAAUUUCAAAAAACGGACGGUGGAUUCUGAUUCGGCAUGUCGAAAAACGUAAGGAGGGACCUCGGGUUCCUUCACGCGC
This 1381-nucleotide long non-coding RNA is filed under the name Malus domestica (apple). RNAcentral describes it as "long non-coding RNA (MDOM_LNC002796)". Lineage: Eukaryota; Viridiplantae; Streptophyta; Magnoliopsida; Rosales; Rosaceae. The record is from RNAcentral.